RNAcentral lists this ribosomal RNA (120 nucleotides) under Castor canadensis (American beaver). Lineage: Eukaryota; Metazoa; Chordata; Mammalia; Rodentia; Castoridae. The record is from RNAcentral.
GUUUACAGCCAUACCACCCUAAAUGUGCCCAAUCUUUUCUGGUCUCGGAAGCUAAGUAAGGGUCAGGCCUGAUUAGUACUUGGAUGGGAGACAAAUCUUCAAAAGAGACUGCUCAGAGAC